UACGAAGGGGGCAAGCGUUGUUCGGAUUUACUGGGCGUAAAGCGUACGUAGGCGGAUGAUUAAGUCAGGGGUGAAAUCCCGGGGCUCAACCUCGGAACUGCCUUUGAUACUGGUCAUCUAGAGUCCGGGAGAGGUGAGUGGAACUCCUAGUGUAGAGGUGAAAUUCGUAGAUAUUAGGAAGAACACCAGUGGCGAAGGCGGCUCACUGGCCCGGAACUGACGCUGAGGUACGAAAGCGUGGGGAGCAAACAGG
RNAcentral lists this ribosomal RNA (253 nucleotides) under uncultured bacterium. RNAcentral describes it as "partial 16S ribosomal RNA". It matches the Rfam family "Bacterial small subunit ribosomal RNA", at positions 524 to 776 of the family's 1533-position model. The record is from RNAcentral.